RNAcentral lists this transfer RNA (71 nucleotides) under Bacteriophage sp. RNAcentral's name for it is "tRNA-Lys". It matches the Rfam family "tRNA". From Rfam's summary of the family: Transfer RNA (tRNA) molecules are approximately 80 nucleotides in length. Their secondary structure includes four short double-helical elements and three loops (D, anti-codon, and T loops). RNAcentral also lists the same sequence under 1 other name. The record is from RNAcentral.
UCUCCCUUAGCUCAACGGUAGAGCUUUCGACUUUUAAUCGAAAGACAAGAGUUCGACUCUCUUAGGGAGAA